UACGAAGGGUGCAAGCGUUACUCGGAAUUACUGGGCGUAAAGCGUGCGUAGGUGGUUCGUUAAGUCUGAUGUGAAAGCCCUGGGCUCAACCUGGGAAUGGCAUUGGAUACUGGCGACCUAGAGUGCGGUAGAGGGGUGUGGAAUUCCCGGUGUAGCAGUGAAAUGCGUAGAUAUCGGGAGGAACAUCUGUGGCGAAGGCGACACCCUGGACCAGCACUGACACUGAGGCACGAAGGCGUGGGGAGCAAACAGG
RNAcentral lists this ribosomal RNA (253 nucleotides) under uncultured bacterium. Its description in RNAcentral is "partial 16S ribosomal RNA". It matches the Rfam family "Bacterial small subunit ribosomal RNA", at positions 524 to 776 of the family's 1533-position model. The record is from RNAcentral.